This is a small nucleolar RNA of Hemicordylus capensis (graceful crag lizard), 134 nucleotides long. RefSeq annotates it as small nucleolar RNA SNORA61. The record is from RefSeq and is a predicted model, not a curated record. The transcript has a single exon. NCBI's taxonomy places the organism in Eukaryota, Metazoa, Chordata, Lepidosauria, Squamata, Cordylidae.
CACCUCCCUUUCCCUUUCCCAUCAGAUCUGAAUACCGGUCUCAUGGUCAAAAAGGAGGAAAAGUAAAAUGGAAGCUGGUCUUGCCCUCUCUGCUGGGACAGUCCUGCAGUGAAUGAGGCUGGCUUCAGACAGUU